Molecule: ribosomal RNA, 434 nt
Filed under: uncultured bacterium
Lineage: Bacteria
Description: partial 16S ribosomal RNA
Rfam family: Bacterial small subunit ribosomal RNA
Source: RNAcentral
AGCGAACGCUGGCGGCAGGCCUAACACAUGCAAGUCGAACGAACCUUUCGGGGUUAGUGGCGGACGGGUGAGUAACACGUGGGGACGUGCCUUUAGGUUCGGAAUAACUCAGGGAAACUUGUGCUAAUACCGAAUGUGCCCUUCGGGGGAAAGAUUUAUCGCCUUUAGAGCGGCCCGCGUCUGAUUAGCUAGUUGGUUGAGGUAAUGGCUCACCAAGGCGACGAUCAGUAGCUGGUCUGAGAGGAUGAUCAGCCACAUUGGGACUGAGACACGGCCCAAAAUCCUACGGGAAGGAGGAGUGGGGAAUCCUGCGCAAUCGGGUGAAGGCUGACGGCGCCAUGCCGCGAUAACUAUGAAGGUCUUAGGAUUGUAAAAUUCUUUCACCGGGGACGAUAAUGACGGUACCCGGAGAAGAAGCCCCGGCUAACUUCGUG